This 2446-nucleotide long non-coding RNA is filed under the name Panax ginseng (ginseng). RNAcentral's name for it is "long non-coding RNA (PGIN_LNC003581)". Lineage: Eukaryota; Viridiplantae; Streptophyta; Magnoliopsida; Apiales; Araliaceae. The record is from RNAcentral.
UAUUAUUGUUAUUGUGAUUAUUAUUAUUAUUUUAAACAUUAUAUGUGAGUGUUAUUAAUGCCUGUGAAAGAAAUACAUUAGCACUUAGCAGAUGAGUGGGAAGUGUGGGAGCUUCUGCUGUUGCAGUUAUAACUUGUGGAGUCCAAAAGCUGGAACUUUAGGAGGCAGGAUCUCGAUGACUGAAGUCAUCACAAGUCUCAGUUUCCUUCAGUUUUACCUGUAAAAGAAGUUGAUUUGAAUUCAUAGAAGGUUUGACUAAAUAAUGCAGGUGAAAUCUUGUAAUUACUGGCUGUUUUUGUUAAUGUUCAGUAUUUAGUAGGAUUAACUUUUGAGUUUGUUAUAUCAUAUGAACAGUAGACCAAAGGUGAUAGCCUAGUGGUAAAGACCUCUCCCUUUACUGUCACAACUUCAAGUCCAUCCCUCAGCAGCAGAAGUCAGAAUUAAAGCAGGCGCUACAGAAGAUUGAAAGCAAGUUUUUCCCCAGGCCCGUAAGAUGAAAUGUAUCCCUAGAAUUGAAUUGUAAAAGUAUAGAUUUUGAAAAUAAAUAAAUAAAUAAAAGAUCAUAUGAACAGUGAAGAUACGUGGAAAUGGUGUUGCAGGUUACAAAGACAUCAAUCCAGGUAAAUGAUUUGCUUAAAGCUUUAGUAGCUACACUUAUGGUCCUUAUAUGAGGUUUUAAUUUGACAAGGCAUUACUUUGAUGAUCAGGAACAAGUGCAUACUGUGAUUAAGCUUGAUUCAUUAUAUUGUAAUAAAUAUUUGCUGCUCUGUUUAAAUGUAAGGUGCCGUUUGUUUGCAUAUUAAUGGGCCUGAACAGUCCAAUAUCUGAGCACACUUGGACAGUGUGCAUUUCUGUUCUCUUUUCUCAUGCGGCGAUUGCGUUCUCUAACCUAACCAGGUAAUCUUUCUCCCGUUCCAUCGUUCUAACUCCCGAUCACUAUCUAUAUUUCUCAUUCAUCGUUUGAUCUGGGUAUUUUGGAGAAGCCAUUGGUGGAAGAAUGCAGUGUAGUAGAUGGAAUAGAAAAUUUGUUGAUUUUUGUCCUGAACAACUUCAUUGAAGGCUCACUCAAAUUGAAGGCAUGGAGCAGCAGUAAUGAAGCUGCAAGUGAUAUGCUGAAACUAAUCCAACUUGUUAUUAUGGUUGUGUAAAUUUGCUUCUUUUCUUUUUAAUUUUCAUUUGUAUGAUGAUAAUCUGUGUGAACAUUUUUAUUUAUUAUGGUCUUGUGAGUUUGCUUCUCUUUCUUUCUUUUUAAUUUUCACUUGUAUGUUGGCAAUACGUGUUUGUGAACACAUUUUUGGGAACUGAACUCAAUUUUAGUAUGAGUUAUUGAUAGGUAUCCUUUUAUUAGUUUGUUGAACUUUUAAUAAUCGAUGAAUCCUAAACGGCAAAACUAAUGAUUUGGUCAUCGAAGUUGGCAUGUUUUAUUGAAUAACUGAUUUUAAUUUGUCAAAUUAAUUAACUGAACUAAUUAAAAUUUUCAAAUUGGAUCAGUCCGUUAAAAAAAAUACACACGUUGACUUUUUAUCUAUGUGGCGCUAGAAAAAAUAUACAAAAAUUAAAAAUAUUACAUGUGGCAAAAAAAUAAAUAAAAAACUUCAACCCUGACUUUCUACAUCAACAAAAUAAUAAUAUAUAAUCAAUUAAAAUUUUAAUUCAUUAAAUCAAUCAGAUUACAUAUGGAAGAACAGAUCAAAAAAAAAUCUUCAUCUUUCCUAAAAAGCACUUUUAAUUGUUGAAAUUGAUCUUAAAAUAAACCACAAGGCAGAACAUAAAAACUCUAGGGGAUCAUUGUAUGGGAGAAUCAUUGAGGUUGACAUGAGGCAUAGAAGCAGCAAAUGAUACACACACCUGAUGGAAACAAAUUCCUCCCAAUCAUUCAAUCCCUGCCUUGCAAUCGUACUCUUCAUAUGCCCAACCUCCGAACUGUUGGCAGGAGAAUUUCCAUCCACAAACCGAGGAUUUUCACUUCUCAACAUAAUCUGAAUCAAUACUAUUCUUUAAUGUUGACUGCUUAACUAGCUUCCCAUGUUCAUCAUAAACAUCGAGAUUAUCGCAAGGAGCCGUGGAGGAGGUGGAGGCGGUGGUGGUGGAAGAAGAGAGAAAAAGAACAGAUCUGUUGCCUAAAUACCGUGGCCACCAAGAAGAGAGAGAAGAAGAACAGAUCUGCCGCCUAAAUCCGUGGCUACCACCCUCUGCCGCCUAAAUCCCCCUCUUCACCACCGUCGCUGCCUCCUCGGCAUCCACAUCCUUCCACCCUCCUCGAAUAACAGAUCUAAAAAAUGAUGGGAAUUAAAAAAAUAAAAUGGAAGAACAGAUCUAAAAAAAUGGAAACAGAAUAAUUUGAUUUGGAAGGGGAGAUAAUUAAAUUAAUUUUUUGGAUGAAAUUAAAACAUAAAAUUAUGAUUUUAAUUUUAAUGUUUAGUUAUUAAUAUUAUCUUUUUUAAGG